RNAcentral lists this ribosomal RNA (498 nucleotides) under uncultured bacterium. Its description in RNAcentral is "partial 16S ribosomal RNA". It matches the Rfam family "Bacterial small subunit ribosomal RNA", at positions 29 to 507 of the family's 1533-position model. The record is from RNAcentral.
ACGAACGCUGGCGGCGUGCCUAAUACAUGCAAGUCGAGCGAAGUUUUUCUGGUGCUUGCACUCGAAAAACUUAGCGGCGAACGGGUGAGUAACACGUAAAGAACCUGCCUCAUAGACUGGGACAACUAUUGGAAACGAUAGCUAAUACCGGAUAACAGCAUUAACUGCAUGGUUGAUGUUUAAAAGUUGGUUUUGCUAACACUAUGAGAUGGCUUUGCGGUGCAUUAGCUAGUUGGUGGGGUAAAGGCCUACCAAGGCGACGAUGCAUAGCCGACCUGAGAGGGUGAUCGGCCACACUGGGACUGAGACACGGCCCAGACUCCUACGGGAGGCAGCAGUAGGGAAUCUUCCGCAAUGGGCGAAAGCCUGACGGAGCAACGCCGCGUGAGUGAAGAAGGAUUUCGGUUCGUAAAGCUCUGUUGUUAGGGAAGAAUGAUUGUGUAGUAACUAUACACAGUAGAGACGGUACCUAACCAGAAAGCCACGGCUAACUACGUG